GCUCAGGAUGAACGCUGGCGGCGUGCUUAACACAUGCAAGUCGAACGGGAUCCCUGGCAGCUUGCUGCCGGGGUGAGAGUGGCGAACGGGUGAGUAAUGCGUGACCGACCUGCCCCAUGCACCGGAAUAGCUCCUGGAAACGGGUGGUAAUGCCGGAUGUUCCACAUGAGCGCAUGCGAGUGUGGGAAAGGCUUUUUGCGGCAUGGGAUGGGGUCGCGUCCUAUCAGCUUGUUGGUGGGGUAACGGCCUACCAAGGCGUUGACGGGUAGCCGGCCUGAGAGGGCGACCGGCCACAUUGGGACUGAGAUACGGCCCAGACUCCUACGGGAGGCAGCAGUGGGGAAUAUUGCACAAUGGGCGCAAGCCUGAUGCAGCGACGCCGCGUGCGGGAUGGAGGCCUUCGGGUUGUAAACCGCUUUUGUUCAAGGGCAAGGCACGGUCUUUGGCCGUGUUGAGUGGAUUGUUCGAAUAAGCACCGGCUAACUACGUGCCAGCAGCCGCGGUAAUACGUAGGGUGCAAGCGUUAUCCGGAUUUAUUGGGCGUAAAGGGCUCGUAGGCGGUUCGUCGCGUCCGGUGUGAAAGUCCAUCGCUUAACGGUGGAUCCGCGCCGGGUACGGGCGGGCUUGAGUGCGGUAGGGGAGACUGGAAUUCCCGGUGUAACGGUGGAAUGUGUAGAUAUCGGGAAGAACACCAAUGGCGAAGGCAGGUCUCUGGGCCGUUACUGACGCUGAGGAGCGAAAGCGUGGGGAGCGAACAGGAUUAGAUACCCUGGUAGUCCACGCCGUAAACGGUGGAUGCUGGAUGUGGGGCC
Molecule: ribosomal RNA, 812 nt
Filed under: Bifidobacterium pseudolongum
Lineage: Bacteria; Bacillati; Actinomycetota; Actinomycetes; Bifidobacteriales; Bifidobacteriaceae
Description: bacterial SSU rRNA
Rfam family: Bacterial small subunit ribosomal RNA
Source: RNAcentral